This 254-nucleotide ribosomal RNA is filed under the name uncultured bacterium. Its description in RNAcentral is "partial 16S ribosomal RNA". It matches the Rfam family "Bacterial small subunit ribosomal RNA", at positions 524 to 776 of the family's 1533-position model. The record is from RNAcentral.
AACGUAGGAGGCGAGCGUUAUCCGGAUUUACUGGGCGUAAAGCGCGCGUAGGCGGCUGGUCAAGUCGGAUGUGAAAGCCCCUGGCUCAACUGGGGGAGGCCAUUCGAUACUGAUCGGCUUGAGGGUGAGAGAGGAAAGUGGAAUUCCCGGUGUAGCGGUGGAAUGCGUAGAGAUCGGGAGGAACACCAGUGGCGAAAGCGGCUUUCUGGCUCACCCCUGACGCUGAGAGCGCGACAGCGUGGGGAGCAAACGGG